RNAcentral lists this transfer RNA (66 nucleotides) under Lethenteron reissneri (Far Eastern brook lamprey). RNAcentral describes it as "tRNA-Phe". Lineage: Eukaryota; Metazoa; Chordata; Hyperoartia; Petromyzontiformes; Petromyzontidae. The record is from RNAcentral.
GUUAAGAGUAGCUUAGUAUUAAAGCGGAGCCCUGAAGGCUCAAAUGGUUUUUAGAACCCCUUGACA